This 2903-nucleotide ribosomal RNA is filed under the name Escherichia coli. RNAcentral's name for it is "23S ribosomal RNA". It matches the Rfam family "Bacterial large subunit ribosomal RNA". The record is from RNAcentral. Lineage: Bacteria; Pseudomonadati; Pseudomonadota; Gammaproteobacteria; Enterobacterales; Enterobacteriaceae.
GGUUAAGCGACUAAGCGUACACGGUGGAUGCCCUGGCAGUCAGAGGCGAUGAAGGACGUGCUAAUCUGCGAUAAGCGUCGGUAAGGUGAUAUGAACCGUUAUAACCGGCGAUUUCCGAAUGGGGGAAACCCAGUGUGUUUCGACACACUAUCAUUAACUGAAUCCAUAGGUUAAUGAGGCGAACCGGGGGAACUGAAACAUCUAAGUACCCCGAGGAAAAGAAAUCAACCGAGAUUCCCCCAGUAGCGGCGAGCGAACGGGGAGGAGCCCAGAGCCUGAAUCAGUGUGUGUGUUAGUGGAAGCGUCUGGAAAGGCGCGCGAUACAGGGUGACAGCCCCGUACACAAAAAUGCACAUGCUGUGAGCUCGAUGAGUAGGGCGGGACACGUGGUAUCCUGUCUGAAUAUGGGGGACCAUCCUCCAAGGCUAAAUACUCCUGACUGACCGAUAGUGAACCAGUACCGUGAGGGAAAGGCGAAAAGAACCCCGGCGAGGGGAGUGAAAAAGAACCUGAAACCGUGUACGUACAAGCAGUGGGAGCCUCUUAAUGGGGUGACUGCGUACCUUUUGUAUAAUGGGUCAGCGACUUAUAUUCUGUAGCAAGGUUAACCGAAUAGGGGAGCCGAAGGGAAACCGAGUCUUAACUGGGCGUUAAGUUGCAGGGUAUAGACCCGAAACCCGGUGAUCUAGCCAUGGGCAGGUUGAAGGUUGGGUAACACUAACUGGAGGACCGAACCGACUAAUGUUGAAAAAUUAGCGGAUGACUUGUGGCUGGGGGUGAAAGGCCAAUCAAACCGGGAGAUAGCUGGUUCUCCCCGAAAGCUAUUUAGGUAGCGCCUCGUGAAUUCAUCUCCGGGGGUAGAGCACUGUUUCGGCAAGGGGGUCAUCCCGACUUACCAACCCGAUGCAAACUGCGAAUACCGGAGAAUGUUAUCACGGGAGACACACGGCGGGUGCUAACGUCCGUCGUGAAGAGGGAAACAACCCAGACCGCCAGCUAAGGUCCCAAAGUCAUGGUUAAGUGGGAAACGAUGUGGGAAGGCCCAGACAGCCAGGAUGUUGGCUUAGAAGCAGCCAUCAUUUAAAGAAAGCGUAAUAGCUCACUGGUCGAGUCGGCCUGCGCGGAAGAUGUAACGGGGCUAAACCAUGCACCGAAGCUGCGGCAGCGACACUAUGUGUUGUUGGGUAGGGGAGCGUUCUGUAAGCCUGUGAAGGUGGCCUGUGAGGGUUGCUGGAGGUAUCAGAAGUGCGAAUGCUGACAUAAGUAACGAUAAAGCGGGUGAAAAGCCCGCUCGCCGGAAGACCAAGGGUUCCUGUCCAACGUUAAUCGGGGCAGGGUGAGUCGACCCCUAAGGCGAGGCCGAAAGGCGUAGUCGAUGGGAAACAGGUUAAUAUUCCUGUACUUGGUGUUACUGCGAAGGGGGGACGGAGAAGGCUAUGUUGGCCGGGCGACGGUUGUCCCGGUUUAAGCGUGUAGGCUGGUUUUCCAGGCAAAUCCGGAAAACCAAGGCUGAGGCGUGAUGACGAGGCACUACGGUGCUGAAGUGACAAAUGCCCUGCUUCCAGGAAAAGCCUCUAAGCAUCAGGUAACAUCAAAUCGUACCCCAAACCGACACAGGUGGUCAGGUAGAGAAUACCAAGGCGCUUGAGAGAACUCGGGUGAAGGAACUAGGCAAAAUGGUGCCGUAACUUCGGGAGAAGGCACGCUGAUAUGUAGGUGAAGCGACUUGCUCGUGGAGCUGAAAUCAGUCGAAGAUACCAGCUGGCUGCAACUGUUUAUUAAAAACACAGCACUGUGCAAACACGAAAGUGGACGUAUACGGUGUGACGCCUGCCCGGUGCCGGAAGGUUAAUUGAUGGGGUUAGCGGUAACGCGAAGCUCUUGAUCGAAGCCCCGGUAAACGGCGGCCGUAACUAUAACGGUCCUAAGGUAGCGAAAUUCCUUGUCGGGUAAGUUCCGACCUGCACGAAUGGCGUAAUGAUGGCCAGGCUGUCUCCACCCGAGACUCAGUGAAAUUGAACUCGCUGUGAAGAUGCAGUGUACCCGCGGCAAGACGGAAAGACCCCGUGAACCUUUACUAUAGCUUGACACUGAACAUUGAGCCUUGAUGUGUAGGAUAGGUGGGAGGCUUUGAAGUGUGGACGCCAGUCUGCAUGGAGCCGACCUUGAAAUACCACCCUUUAAUGUUUGAUGUUCUAACGUUGGCCCCUAAUCGGGGUUGCGGACAGUGUCUGGUGGGUAGUUUGACUGGGGCGGUCUCCUCCUAAAGAGUAACGGAGGAGCACGAAGGUUGGCUAAUCCUGGUCGGACAUCAGGAGGUUAGUGCAAUGGCAUAAGCCAGCUUGACUGCGAGCGUGACGGCGCGAGCAGGUGCGAAAGCAGGUCAUAGUGAUCCGGUGGUUCUGAAUGGAAGGGCCAUCGCUCAACGGAUAAAAGGUACUCCGGGGAUAACAGGCUGAUACCGCCCAAGAGUUCAUAUCGACGGCGGUGUUUGGCACCUCGAUGUCGGCUCAUCACAUCCUGGGGCUGAAGUAGGUCCCAAGGGUAUGGCUGUUCGCCAUUUAAAGUGGUACGCGAGCUGGGUUUAGAACGUCGUGAGACAGUUCGGUCCCUAUCUGCCGUGGGCGCUGGAGAACUGAGGGGGCUGCUCCUAGUACGAGAGGACCGGAGUGGACGUAUCACUGGUGUUCGGGUUGUCAUGCCAAUGGCACUGCCCGGUAGCUAAAUGCGGAAGAGAUAAGUGCUGAAAGCAUCUAAGCACGAAACUUGCCCCGAGAUGAGUUCUCCCUGAGACUUAGAGUCUCCUGAAGGAACGUUGAAGACGACGACGUUGAUAGGCCGGGUGUGUAAGCGCAGCGAUGCGUUGAGCUAACCGGUACUAAUGAACCGUGAGGCUUAACCUU